GAUGAACGCUGGCGGCGUGCCUAAUACAUGCAAGUCGAGCGAACGGACGAGAAGCUUGCUUCUCUGAUGUUAGCGGCGGACGGGUGAGUAACACGUGGAUAACCUACCUAUAAGACUGGGAUAACUUCGGGAAACCGGAGCUAAUACCGGAUAAUAUUUUGAACCGCAUUGUUCAAAAGUGAAAGACGGUCUUGCUGUCACUUAUAGAUGGAUCCGCGCUGCAUUAGCUAGUUGUUAAGGAAACGGCUUACCAAGGCAACGAUGGAUAGCCGACCUGAGAGGGGGAUCGCCCACACGGGAACUGAGACAGGGUCCAGACUCCUACGGUAGGCAGCAGUAGAGAAUCUUACGCAAUGGGGGAGAGCCUGACGGAGCAACGCGGCGUGAGUGAUGAAGGUCUUCGGAUCGUAAAACUCUGUUAUUAGGGAAGAACAUAUGUGUAAGUAACUGUGAACAUCUUGACGGUACCUAAUCAGAAAGCCACGGCUAACUACGUG
This 497-nucleotide ribosomal RNA is filed under the name uncultured bacterium. RNAcentral describes it as "partial 16S ribosomal RNA". It matches the Rfam family "Bacterial small subunit ribosomal RNA", at positions 28 to 507 of the family's 1533-position model. The record is from RNAcentral.